This is a long non-coding RNA of Musca domestica (house fly), 538 nucleotides long. RefSeq lists it as uncharacterized. NCBI's taxonomy places the organism in Eukaryota, Metazoa, Arthropoda, Insecta, Diptera, Muscidae. The transcript is spliced from 3 exons. The record is from RefSeq and is a predicted model, not a curated record.
CACAUUUUUUCAAAUUUUUGUUAAAUCCAAAUAAUUUUGCGACAUGUAAGAAAAUAUGUAUGUUAAAAUUAUUAGAUCGUCAAAUAACAUUUCGAAUGACAGAAAAAAUCAUGGAGUACGUAACGGUUUCCCUUUGAACAUCUCAAAAAAAAAGGAACGAAGAUCGAGCACCAAAUUCACGGGAGAUAUUUUCCAAGGGAGCAACAUGCAAUCGAAUUGAAGAACAACAAUACCAGCCGAAGAUCUGUUGCUGUUGUUGACCAACAAAACUCUGCUGCAUUCCAAACCCUAAGCCAUGGCAUUUCUUCUGUGUUUUACUCAGCGAACAGCGAUGACAAAGCUUAGCAUUAAACGGUGCGAAGUCGUGGCGUUAAGACGUGAUUUGAAUUCAAUCUUAGGGUAAAUCACAGAUUCAGAGAUGUCAUAACUAAGCUAACUGAAAACAGCAGAAAUUGUGUAAAAAAAAGUGGGGCUGGCCCAGAAGAGGCGUCUCUUCAAAACGGCAAUUUGCAAUCUUUAAUUCUGAAAAUAAAAACAA